GGAAGCGGAUGGGUCCUGGUGGGUCCCCCGGACUUCAAAUCCGGUGUCGGGUGCGACGAGCGCCCUGGGCAGGUUCGAUUCCUGUGCGCUUCCGCCA
This 97-nucleotide transfer RNA is filed under the name Deltaproteobacteria bacterium. Its description in RNAcentral is "tRNA-Sec". It matches the Rfam family "Selenocysteine transfer RNA". RNAcentral also lists the same sequence under 1 other name. Lineage: Bacteria; Pseudomonadati; Myxococcota; Myxococcia. The record is from RNAcentral.